CGGGUGUAGCUCAGCUGGUUAGAGUGCCGGCCUGUCACGCCGGAGGUCGCGGGUUCGAGCCCCGUCACUC
This 70-nucleotide transfer RNA is filed under the name Hyphomonas adhaerens. It matches the Rfam family "tRNA". From Rfam's summary of the family: Transfer RNA (tRNA) molecules are approximately 80 nucleotides in length. Their secondary structure includes four short double-helical elements and three loops (D, anti-codon, and T loops). RNAcentral also lists the same sequence under 3 other names. Lineage: Bacteria; Pseudomonadati; Pseudomonadota; Alphaproteobacteria; Hyphomonadales; Hyphomonadaceae. The record is from RNAcentral.